CUGGCUCAGGAUGAACGCUGGCGGCGUGCUUAAUACAUGCAAGUCGAACGAAGACAUCUCGCCGAAGCUUGCUUCAUUGAGAUAUCUUAGUGGCGGACGGGUGAGUAACGCGUGGGUAACCUGCCUUACACAGGGGGAUAACAGUUAGAAAUGACUGCUAAUACCGCAUAAGCGCACAUUAUCGCAUGAUAGAGUGUGAAAAGAUUUAUCGGUGUAAGAUGGACCCGCGUCUGAUUAGCUAGUUGGUGAGGUAACGGCCCACCAAGGCGACGAUCAGUAGCCGGCCUGAGAGGGUGAACGGCCACAUUGGGACUGAGACACGGCCCAAACUCCUACGGGAGGCAGCAGUAGGGAAUAUUGGACAAUGGGGGAAACCCUGAUCCAGCGACGCCGCGUGAGUGAAGAAGUAUUUCGGUACGUAAAGCUCUAUCAGCAGGGAAGAAAAUGACGGUACCUGACUAAGAAGCACCGGCUAAAUACGUGCCAGCCGCGGC
Molecule: ribosomal RNA, 494 nt
Filed under: uncultured bacterium
Lineage: Bacteria
Description: bacterial SSU rRNA
Rfam family: Bacterial small subunit ribosomal RNA
Source: RNAcentral